AUACGUAGGGUGCGAGCGUUAAUCGGAAUUACUGGGCGUAAAGCGUGCGCAGGCGGUUUUGUAAGACAGAGGUGAAAUCCCCGGGCUCAACCUGGGAACUGCCUUUGUGACUGCAAGGCUAGAGUACGGCAGAGGGGGAUGGAAUUCCGCGUGUAGCAGUGAAAUGCGUAGAUAUGCGGAGGAACACCGAUGGCGAAGGCAAUCCCCUGGGCCUGUUCUGACGCUCAUGCACGAAAGCGUGGGGAGCAAACAGGAUUAGAAACCCUUGUAGUCC
Molecule: ribosomal RNA, 274 nt
Filed under: uncultured bacterium
Lineage: Bacteria
Description: partial 16S ribosomal RNA
Rfam family: Bacterial small subunit ribosomal RNA
Source: RNAcentral